This 1350-nucleotide long non-coding RNA is filed under the name Felis catus (domestic cat). Its description in RNAcentral is "lncRNA (ENSFCAG00000049760.1)". The record is from RNAcentral. Lineage: Eukaryota; Metazoa; Chordata; Mammalia; Carnivora; Felidae.
AAAACAGAAUCCAGGAGUGUUAUUUUUGUUCUCUUCUAAUUAAAAUAAUUGCUUGGUUCCUUUUAACUAGAUUCAUGCAGUUAUUAGCCUAAUACAUGGAUGGGUGCCAUGGGGUGCUUGAGAAACAAAAUGAAAAGUGAUCAUGUAGCUUCACAUGAAAAAGAUUCUGUGGUGCCAAGGAGUAUUAUUCCUUUCAGCCGGCAUCUUAUAAGGGCCUUUAGUAAACCUUGUCCCCCACCCCCCAGACCCUUACUAAAAGACUAUUAAGUGAAAGAAUGCUUCUAUUUUCUCUAUUAGGUAGACAGUGAACUCGGUACAAUUUGAAGAGGGGCACUUGAUAUGCCGGGUAUGGCACAAAGACUGGGGGUCUGGUUUUAAUCUCUGCCCCUGCUUUGUCUUACAGAGUAGCUGCAAUUGAAGGAUAAAUGCUCCAUGCCAGUUGGUGUUUGUUCAGAGGACACUGGAAGAAGAGGGACAAAGGUGGCCUGGAUGUUGAUCCGUGAGCCUAAGUCUAUGGUUCUCUGAAGCAAAGGUGCCAGUGAAGUUGCUUCAUAAAAAAACAAAACAAAACAAACCUUCCAGAAUCUUCCAUUGGAGAAUUGUCACCUGCAAAGACCUCUGAGAGGUGUCACGGACCAGAACAUCACCCUUAAAAUAAAAGCGCAUCUGUGCCGGGAAGCCAGAGGAGAUCAGCGUUUCUUUAUUUGGAUCAGUGUUGAGAGCGAAAGAGCAGACUUGAAGACGGGCGGCGGAAGCGAUCUACCCCCCAACUGUUUUGAGGGACCCCUCGGAAUCUGCCGUGAUGUGGCUCCCCACCCUCCCUGUGUCGUUUUUACCACCCUUCCUCCUACAGACACAGUUGCCUGGCUUUCUGCAGCCCUGAGACUGUCAAAUACGACCUGAGAGCAAGGUUCCGGUCCUGGCGGCUCCUUUAGAAGACGUGUGACCUUUCUGGGUUUCGAUUUCAUCACCUGCAGAAAGAGGGGGUCUGACUAGGAGAACUCUAGCAUCCCUUGGGGAUAUAACAGCUGAAGAGCUAUUUUCUCCGGUACCAACGCCGAAGGAAGCCAAGGGAAGGGAGCCCAUGCUGCCUUUCUUUGGAGUCCUUGGUCUGGGCUCUCAUGCAUGGACAUGGCCAUCAGGUGGCCUGGAAUCACAUUUACAAUGGAGACUCUGGUUCAGUAAUUCCGAGGUGGGGGCUGAGACAUUUGCUUUUCUGACAGCUGUCGGAUGAGGUAGCAACUUGGGACAGUGAGGCCUCGGGCAGUAGGCUAAGUGGAGCGCCGGGGUUGGUGUGGUUUCCUCAGCGCUGGGGUGUCCACACAGCCCGAGUGCAUUGUUGUUCGGUGU